GCCAGGUGUGGUGGUGCACACCUGUAAUACCAGAUACUUGGAGGCUGAGGCAGGAAGGUCUUCAGUUCAAGGCCAGUCUGGGCAAGUUAUUGAGACCUUCUCUCAA
RNAcentral lists this small RNA (106 nucleotides) under Marmota monax (woodchuck). The record is from RNAcentral. Lineage: Eukaryota; Metazoa; Chordata; Mammalia; Rodentia; Sciuridae.